AUUGAACGCUGGCGGCAGGCCUAACACAUGCAAGUCGAGCGGAUGAAGGGAGCUUGCUCCUGGAUUCAGCGGCGGUCGGGUGAGUAAUGCCCAGGAAUCUGCCUGGUAGUGGGGGAUAACGUCCGGAAACGGGCGCUAAUACCGCAUACGUCCUGAGGGAGAAAGUGGGGGAUCUUCGGACCUCACGCUAUCAGAUGAGCCUAGGUCGGAUUAGCUAGUUGGUGGGGUAAAGGCCUACCAAGGCGACGAUCCGUAACUGGUCUGAGAGGAUGAUCAGUCACACUGGAACUGAGACACGGUCCAGACUCCUACGGGAGGCAGCAGUGGGGAAUAUUGGACAAUGGGCGAAAGCCUGAUCCAGCCAUGCCGCGUGUGUGAAGAAGGUCUUCGGAUUGUAAAGCACUUUAAGUUGGGAGGAAGGGCAGUAAGUUAAUACCUUGCUGUUUUGACGUUACCAACAGAAUAAGCACCGGCUAACUUCGUG
This 484-nucleotide ribosomal RNA is filed under the name uncultured bacterium. RNAcentral's name for it is "partial 16S ribosomal RNA". It matches the Rfam family "Bacterial small subunit ribosomal RNA", at positions 30 to 507 of the family's 1533-position model. The record is from RNAcentral.